CGUACGCUCGGCCAAUCGCACAGCUGUGGCGCUGCUCACCCCAUCCCCGCGAACGGUCGGAUCCAUCCUCCUCCCCCCACCACCCCGCCUUGCCACCUCCCUUGUCGUCGCUGCCUCCUCGAUCCAUUACCGUCAUAGCCUCUUUCCUCCUCCCAUACACCACGUCGCAGUCUGCUCCCCUCCUCCACCGCCUCCUCCCACUGUGUUAGCGCCGCGCAACACAGAGCUCAAGCUCGCGCACGGAGAUGCAGAGACGCGGCCCCACAUCUCCCCGCUCCUCCCUCUGUGGCGGCCCGGCGUGGCCCCACCUCUUUCCAGCUCCGGCGCAAGCCCGCGCAGGCAGAUGUGGUGGCGCAGUCCAAUGGGGCUGCGGGUGGCGCGGGCCCUCCCCUCCCCUGCUGCACGCGGCACAUCUGGGGCCACUACGGUGCCCGGGAUGCAGCGCGAGAUGGCAGUGCGAAGGGCUAAGGGCGAUGUGGGACGGCGGCGCGGAGCAGCCGGCGGUCGCACAGGAUGGUGACGCAUUUCAUUGACAGUGGUAAGCAACAUGUUAUUCUGUCUAGGUAUAACGGUACAAUUUAUUAAGCAAUUUUAUUAAGUAUCUUAGGAUUCUCCCAGUUGGCAAUAAUAUUGUUCUACCUAGGCAUAAUAGUACAAUUCAUUAAGCAACUUUUUGCCCAUCGAUCUUGAGGCCUCGCUGAAGCUGGUCUCCUCCUUAGAGUCCAUGGACGUCAAUGCCCCGGCCUCGGCAAGCAAGGAGCCUCAAGAAUCAGGUGCUGCUCGCCUGCUCUGGCAUCGCUGUUGUCACGGUGCAGGACACCAAGCAGAUCGAAGGUACGCCGGGUGAUUUUGUGUUUGUUUCCAUUUUACUUCUGAUCUUGAUUGCACAUUCCUGUUAGCUUCUAUAACUCCAGCUAUUCCUGUUAGCUUCUAUAACUCCAGCUAUUUGUUUUGUAUACCUUAUUGCCUGUAGUACAUCUUGUAAAUUGGUAAUGCAACAAUUUUUGGCAUGUAUUAGUAUGUCAGUUUGAUCUGCUAGGCCCCUGAAUCUUGAAUUCAUGGGGGAAUUCCAUCCUGAUUUCAUAUGCUAAUGGGUUAGCAGAUAAGCUGACUGCAGGUGGAUCCUUUGGCAUUGAAUGACAUGAUGGUAACGAAUUAAUCAUGUUUCAAUUUGUUCAAUCUAGCACAGGUGCAAACACCAUUGCACACACGCUUUGAAACGAGCAGCAGAAACAUCCCAUCCUGGAGGAUGUGAACUGAAACACCAUAUGGAGCCACAUCGGCCGGGGCUACAUCCCGUGCCUCUCUGGUCAUGGAUCCACCCGGUGGCUCGAAGCUAACUAGGAAGAAAAGCAGAUUCAACCUCCACACAACCACAAUGCCAACAACCUCCAAUCUGCACCACCCCGCCACCACCGUAACCAUAUACCUGGCUUCGGUGUGUAUCCUGCCGUGACCCCUUGCUCUGGUGUUGGUCUUGCCGACGAUGGAGUUUGGCGUCCGGCAGUAGCCACGGCAAGCAUGGAGGAUCCAAAGGAGCAGAUUGUAAUUUCUAUUUUUUAGGGUCUUCUAUGCAAAGUUGACUGGACAUCUGUCCACAUCUGUCCAUCUAGCCUAUCAUAUUAAUAUUAAUACAGGUAAAUUACCAAACAAAAAAAAACUUUAGUUGAUUAUUGACCCAUUUGUACAAUAUGUAACUUACUACUAUAUAUCGGCCUGUUUGGUU
Panicum virgatum (switchgrass) is the source of this 1726-nucleotide long non-coding RNA. RefSeq lists it as uncharacterized. Lineage: Eukaryota; Viridiplantae; Streptophyta; Magnoliopsida; Poales; Poaceae. The transcript is spliced from 2 exons. The record is from RefSeq and is a predicted model, not a curated record.